UAAUCGGUGGUUCAGUGGUAGAAUGCUCGCCUGCCACGCGAGUGGCCCGGGUUCGAUUCCCGGCCGAUGCAU
This 72-nucleotide transfer RNA is filed under the name Cordylochernes scorpioides. RNAcentral describes it as "tRNA-Gly". It matches the Rfam family "tRNA". From Rfam's summary of the family: Transfer RNA (tRNA) molecules are approximately 80 nucleotides in length. Their secondary structure includes four short double-helical elements and three loops (D, anti-codon, and T loops). Further hydrogen bonds mediate the characteristic L-shaped molecular structure. tRNAs have two regions of fundamental functional importance: the anti-codon, which is responsible for specific mRNA codon recognition, and the 3' end, to which the tRNAs corresponding amino acid is attached (by aminoacyl-tRNA synthetases). tRNAs cope with the degeneracy of the genetic code in two manners: having more than one tRNA (with a specific anti-codon) for a particular amino acid; and 'wobble' base-pairing, i.e. permitting non-standard base-pairing at the 3rd anti-codon position. Lineage: Eukaryota; Metazoa; Arthropoda; Arachnida; Pseudoscorpiones; Chernetidae. The record is from RNAcentral.